CAUAUGUUAACUGAUAUCUUUUACAAUUGGUGAAAGCGCGCGGAACAAAAGAGGAAAAUAAAUGCUAUUGUUUUUCUGAAAAUUGCACAAAGCGUUGGGCGAUAAGGGAACAUAAGUAUAUAUUAUAAGCUCGGAGUGCUUUAGAGACAGUUCUUCUAUCUUUAGCAGGCACUAUUAGGGAUCGUUUAAACAGGUGCGAAAUAGGUGAGAGCCUCGAAAAGUUCGUCCUUUUUUACCUGUAUGGGUCUAUGUAUCUUUGUUUAAUUUUAUGUUAAAAUUGCGUUUUAAAAUGAAAAUUUUAGUUUUUAUUUCAGUAACUGUUACCUGCCACAUUUCGUUCGUUGAGAUGGCUCACUUUCCGCUGCAUGCUGCUCUCCCAUACAAAUUUGUGUUGCCAACGGUAAAUGUAAGUGAGAACGGAUUUAAGCCACAUUGCUGCAAAGAAAAUUCCCAUGUUGCGGGAGUUCCCCAAAAGGAAAAUUGAAAAAACAUUCGGAUGGGAGUUUCGAUACCCUAUAUUAUUUAAUAUACCAUUAAAAUGUAAUAUAGUAGAAUGUAAAACGAUAUCAAAUCCGAAGUUUAUAUAAAAUACAGCAAAUAUUGCGGCUGUCUAGUAUGGUGUCCCGAUCUUUCCGAUUCGUUGAGAGAGUAGGAAAUAUAAAUUGCAUUUGUCAC
RNAcentral lists this long non-coding RNA (675 nucleotides) under Drosophila guanche. The record is from RNAcentral. Lineage: Eukaryota; Metazoa; Arthropoda; Insecta; Diptera; Drosophilidae.